RNAcentral lists this long non-coding RNA (199 nucleotides) under Panax ginseng (ginseng). RNAcentral describes it as "long non-coding RNA (PGIN_LNC003592)". The record is from RNAcentral. Lineage: Eukaryota; Viridiplantae; Streptophyta; Magnoliopsida; Apiales; Araliaceae.
UUGGAACAGUCUUCGUUGCAUAAGUAUACAUGAGUCUUGAUUUAUGCUAUAAUUUUCUGUUUUGAGCAGUGUAGCAUGUGUAUUCUUUGCUUAAGUCAAGUUUUGGUGAACACAACACACACACACAGCAUCUCUAUAGCAUUUAUGAAUUAUCUGAGUGUAUGAUAUUAUGCCUAUAGUUUAGUUCGAAUCUGAAUUC